This 92-nucleotide microRNA precursor is filed under the name Phaseolus vulgaris (common bean). RNAcentral's name for it is "pre miRNA MIR394". It matches the Rfam family "MIR394 microRNA precursor family". Lineage: Eukaryota; Viridiplantae; Streptophyta; Magnoliopsida; Fabales; Fabaceae. The record is from Rfam by way of RNAcentral.
GUUCCAUAGACAUUUUGGCAUUCUGUCCACCUCCAUUGUGUCACAAAGCAUGCAGUUUGGAGGUGGCCAGAAUGCCAAACGGGCUCUGUGUA